GACGAACGCUGGCGGCGUGCUUAACACAUGCAAGUCGAACGGAAAGGCCCUGCUUUUGUGGGGUGCUCGAGUGGCGAACGGGUGAGUAACACGUGAGUAACCUGCCCUUGACUUUGGGAUAAAUUCAGGAAAAUGGGGCUAAUACAGGAUAGGAGCUCCUGCUGCAUGGUGGGGGUUGGAAAGUUUCGGCGGUUGGGGAUGGACUAGCGGCUUAUCAGCUUGUUGGUGGGGUAGUGGAUUACAAAGGCUUUGACGGGUAGCCGGCCUGAGAGGUUGACCGGCCACAUUGGUCCUGAGAUACGGCCCAGACUCCUACGGUCCGCAGCAGUCGGGAAUAUUGCACAAUGGGCGGACGCCUGAUGCAGCAACGCCGCGUGCGUGAUGACGGCCUUCGGGUUGUAAACCGCUUUCUCCUGUGACGAAGCGUGAGUGACGGUAAUGGGUAAAGAAGCACCGGCUAACUACGUG
RNAcentral lists this ribosomal RNA (468 nucleotides) under uncultured bacterium. RNAcentral's name for it is "partial 16S ribosomal RNA". It matches the Rfam family "Bacterial small subunit ribosomal RNA", at positions 28 to 507 of the family's 1533-position model. The record is from RNAcentral.